RNAcentral lists this non-coding RNA (1044 nucleotides) under Anopheles gambiae (African malaria mosquito). Its description in RNAcentral is "Eukaryotic large subunit ribosomal RNA". It matches the Rfam family "Eukaryotic large subunit ribosomal RNA", at positions 300 to 1118 of the family's 3401-position model. Lineage: Eukaryota; Metazoa; Arthropoda; Insecta; Diptera; Culicidae. The record is from Rfam by way of RNAcentral.
UAAACUCCUUCUAAAGCUAAAUACCACCAUGAGUCCGAUAGCGAACAAGUACCGUGAGGGAAAGUUGAAAAGCACUCUGAAUAGAGAGUCAAAUAGUACGUGAAACUGCCUAGGGGUACAAACCCGUUGAACUCAAUGAUCCGGGCGGCGAUAUUCAGCGGUAAACUAGCAUUUGCCGUGCACUUAUCGAUCCGCAGUAACGGACAUCGCGAUCCAUUACAACAGCGGUUGGCCUCGUGCUAACGCUCCGGCAUACACUGCCCCUAGCUCGUGGUGGACGGUCCCUCUGUAAGGGUAGGGUAGCUGCUCUACACUGACCGGGGAUCUCCGCGCAGUCCUUCUGGAAGGCGAAUGGGUCCGACCGAGCUCUGGUGUGCUGCUGGAAGGGUGAUGGAUUCUAACGAGAGGGGUAGUACCGCUGUCUUCUCCGAAAGGCGCGCGAAUCCUUCGUUCGGCGAUGAUGCAUCAUGCAUUGAGGCACCUCCGGGAGCCGUCUUGAAACACGGACCAAGAAGUCUAUCUUGCGCGCAAGCCAAUGGGUCGGUGGCCACGUCCGCGUGUGUCCCGGUUCUAUACACCCAAAGGCGAAGACAACUCGAGUUGCGGGAUUACGGGUUCGGCACUGGCGCAAGCCUUCGUCGGACCCCUCCAUCCCAGGGUGUCCCGAUACGGCGUGUGCUUGCACACCCAGCGGGCAUCCCCGGAGUGCGCAGGAUGCGACCCGAAAGAUGGUGAACUAUGCCUGAUCAGGUUGAAGUCAGGGGAAACCCUGAUGGAGGACCGAAGCAAUUCUGACGUGCAAAUCGAUUGUCAGAGUUGGGCAUAGGGGCGAAAGACCAAUCGAACCAUCUAGUAGCUGGUUCCCUCCGAAGUUUCCCUCAGGAUAGCUGGUGCACGUAGCGUUUCGAACCUUAUUCUUAUCUGGUAAAGCGAAUGAUUAGAGGCCUUAGGUUCGAAAUGAUCUUAACCUAUUCUCAAACUAUAAAUGGGUACGGUACUGGGUGGCAUUCUUUACUGAUCGCCACCCUUUCUACAACCGACGAU